RNAcentral lists this non-coding RNA (24 nucleotides) under Drosophila erecta. RNAcentral also lists the same sequence under 9 other names. The record is from RNAcentral. Lineage: Eukaryota; Metazoa; Arthropoda; Insecta; Diptera; Drosophilidae.
AACAUUCAACCUGUCGGUGAGUUU